UACGUAGGGUGCGAGCGUUGUCCGGAAUUAUUGGGCGUAAAGAGCUUGUAGGCGGUUUGUCGCGUCUGCCGUGAAAAUUCGAGGCUCAACCUCGAACUUGCGGUGGGUACGGGCAGACUAGAGUGUGGUAGGGGAGACUGGAAUUCCUGGUGUAGCGGUGAAUGCGCAGAUAUCAGGAGGAACACCGGUGGCGAAGGCGGGUCUCUGGGCCGAGUACUGACGCUGAGGAGCGAAAGCGUGGGGAGCGAACAGGAUUAGA
This 259-nucleotide ribosomal RNA is filed under the name uncultured bacterium. RNAcentral describes it as "partial 16S ribosomal RNA". It matches the Rfam family "Bacterial small subunit ribosomal RNA", at positions 524 to 782 of the family's 1533-position model. The record is from RNAcentral.